CAGGACAUAGUUUAAAACAGAACACCCCCCUUACACGGAGGAAAUACUCGUU
RNAcentral lists this ribosomal RNA (52 nucleotides) under Epinephelus itajara (Atlantic goliath grouper). RNAcentral describes it as "partial 12S ribosomal RNA". The record is from RNAcentral. Lineage: Eukaryota; Metazoa; Chordata; Actinopteri; Perciformes; Serranidae.